CAGCAGCCGCGGGAAUACGGAGGGUGCAAGCGUUAAUCGGAAUUACUGGGCGUAAAGCGCACGCAGGCGGUCUGACAAGUCAGAUGUGAAGUCCCCGGGCUUAACCUGGGAACCGCAUUUGAAACUGUCAGGCUGGAGUCUUGUAGAGGGGGGUGGAAUUCCAGGUGUAGCGGUGAAAUGCGUAGAGAUCUGGAGGAAUACCGGUGGCGAAGGCGGCCCCCUGGACAAAGACUGACGCUCAGGUGCGAAAGCGUGGGGAGCAAACAGGAUUAGAUACCCCCUAGUCCCUGUCUCUUAUACA
RNAcentral lists this ribosomal RNA (301 nucleotides) under uncultured bacterium. RNAcentral describes it as "partial 16S ribosomal RNA". It matches the Rfam family "Bacterial small subunit ribosomal RNA", at positions 509 to 808 of the family's 1533-position model. The record is from RNAcentral.